UGCGUAGGCGGACUAAUAAGUCAGUGGUGAAAUCUUUCGGCUCAACCGGGAAACUGCCAUUGAUACUGUUAGUCUUGAGUUCGGUUGAGGUAGGCGGAAUGUGUAAUGUAGCGGUGAAAUGCUUAGAUAUUACACAGAACACCAAUUGCGUAGGCAGCUUACUAGACCGACACUGACGCUGAGGCACGAAAGCGUGGGGAGCGAACAGGAUUAGAUACCCUGGUAUCC
Molecule: ribosomal RNA, 228 nt
Filed under: uncultured bacterium
Lineage: Bacteria
Description: partial 16S ribosomal RNA
Rfam family: Bacterial small subunit ribosomal RNA
Source: RNAcentral